UUGGCAAUGAUGAAAUCAGAAACAAUAACACCAUCUUUCGGGACUGAAUGGUGGAAACCUUGCUGAUAUUCUGCAAUUCUGAGCCCC
Amborella trichopoda is the source of this 87-nucleotide non-coding RNA. NCBI's taxonomy places the organism in Eukaryota, Viridiplantae, Streptophyta, Magnoliopsida, Amborellales, Amborellaceae. The record is from Rfam.